RNAcentral lists this long non-coding RNA (3216 nucleotides) under Vitis vinifera (wine grape). RNAcentral's name for it is "long non-coding RNA (VVIN_LNC006090)". Lineage: Eukaryota; Viridiplantae; Streptophyta; Magnoliopsida; Vitales; Vitaceae. The record is from RNAcentral.
UCUACCUUCUUUCCUCUGUCUUCUUCUUCUUCUCAAUAACAUGUAUAUCUGAAAGCAAUUUUACAUUGGCAUUUUUGUCUUUUAUGUGCGAAUCUGUGGGUGAUCAGGUUACUGUGUAUCAACUGUAAAGUCAAACUCUCACAAACAAAAGAAAAAUGAACAAAUUUGCAAUUGAUUAUCAAUAAUCAAGUGUUCUCCAUAUGACUUUUUUCAUCUAGGAUGUUAUGUAUCUCUCGAUUCUUAAGAUGUUUUAAUGUAUGUUUUGAAAUUUUAAAACAUCUGCUGCUAUAUUAAAAGAUCUAUCAAUUGAUUGAUGAUAUUAUUGGUAUUGUGAGUAUCGUUGGAUGUCAUCAAUGCCACUACCAAAAUAUUAAGAUGCAUAGAGAAGAUUUGUUUGCUGGGCAGUUUUCUAUGUUAUUUAGGCUUUCAAAAACUUGGCUUUUCUUAUUCUGUAAAUAUCAAAAGUAUAAUCUGAUUUAAAUUUAAAUUACCAGUGUUUUUUUGUGCCAAUGGGUUCUUGGGUUCUCAUCCAUUCAAAUGCAGGCUUGCAGCAACAGGGCCAUUAACUUUAUCCUUUUGACGCAACUUAUUUGGUGAAUGUAAGAUAAGAUUUUGGUCAAUUACGAUUGAAAUAAUCAAGAUUCUUAUUAUAAGUGUCAUGUUAUAAUUAAUUCUACGAUUUCAAUGAUUGGCAGAACCAUUUUAGUACAAAUUGAGGACAAAUGUAGUUUAAUUAGUAUAAGAUUCUUAAGAUUCCUUUUAUAAGGUAUUGAACUGUAUGCAGUACAUUUCCAUAAUACUUUUUGUCAUAGUAUUUCGUUAUUAUUUUAUACUUAGACUACAUUUGGUUGGUGGGAUAGUAUAGGAUGAUAUAUGUAUAUCCUUGGAUAUCAUAUUCACCGGAUAGUAUAUGCAUAUCCUAAAAUAUCAUUUUAUUUCUAAUGGGAUAUGAUAUUCUUGGAUAUUAUAUCCAAUAGACAUGAUAUACUAAGAUAUCAUUUUUAAUGUAAUAUGUUAUGUCAUGCUUAUAUUUGGUUUGUAAAAUGAAUAAAGAAAAAUGGAAAACAUAUUUAGUAUUACUAAAAAAAUUAUUUUGCUUAUAUUUGGUUUAAAAUAAAAAUUAUAUUGCAUUGCAAUAUUUCCUAUAAAAAAAAUGAAAUCUCUCUCAUAUUUAGUAUUCCUUGAAAAUUGUUCAACAAUUUAAAAUUCAGUAAAUAAUUAUUUAUUUAUUAUAUUUAUAAUUAAAAUAUUUAAAAUUUAUAUUAUGUUAUUUAAUAUAUGAAAAUAAUUUGUUUAUAUAUAUAUAUAUAUAUAUAUAUAUAUAUAUUAAAUAAUACAUAUGUAUUAUUUUAUAAAUAUUUUUUUAGUUCUUUUUAAUUGCAAAUUUAAUUUUUCUAAUCAAAAUUUUUUGUUUUGCAAAAUAAGUGAUAUAAGAAAAUUAAAAAAAAAAAAUUGAUGAAAAGUAUACAUUUAUGAUACAUGGAUAUAUAUCAUCUCAUAUCUCAACUUAAGAUUAAUAUAUCUUAUAUAGAAGGGAUAUAAAAAAAAGGUUGGAUAAUAUAUUCCACUACUCAUCGUAUUCCUAUGUUUGGUCGAACAUAUGAUGAUUGAUGAGGAAACUUAUCAUAUUUCAUCACAAACCAAAUAUGAUAUAGGAUAUGUUAUCCUAUCACUUAUCCUAUCACAUGGUAAUUCCAAACAACCAAACAUGACCUUGAUGGUUUAGCGGGCUUGGCUUGUGUGACAAGGGGUUGGGAUGAGGAUCAAGGGGAUUCCAGUUGAGAUUUGUGUAACAGUAAAAAGAGAAUGUAUCAUGCAAACUAUAAAAAUUUAUUGUAUUACAUUUAAAUGUUAGAAACAUGUAAACUAAAUUUUAUUUGCCAAUGUAUCAUGUAUGGUAUUCCCAUCCUCAAUGGAUAUGUUUUAUUUGAAGCUCCUUUAACAAUAUUGUUAGUCCUUUCUGUUGAUAAACAUUUUGCCUUAUAUUCCCAAACUUUUAUUGGAAAUUUAUUUGGCAAAGCUUUUAUUAAAUUCAUACUUUUCCUUAUUUGACAAUUGACACUGAUGUUGACACUAACAUAUCUGUUGAGUCUGUCUAUUCUUUAAGAUUCUGACAUAUAUAUAUUAUAACAUCCAAUUUUCAAAAAUGGUGAAGUAUUUCUGUUUAUCAUGACGUUGAUGAGAUUACUAAUUGUUAAAUCAAUAGUGCUUCUGACCUUGAGCCUAAAAAGGGAAGAAGUAAGUGAAGGCUUAAAAUGCUGUUGUGUUUACUAAUUUAUUUUCUCAAACUUCUUGGGUAGAUUUGAGAAUGCCUUUUGCUUCUUCUCCAACAUUAUGAAUUAUGAUGGUUAUCUGACAAGAAUAAAAUGAUAUAUGGACAAAAAUUUCAUGUUGUGUAAAAACUAGGAACGUUUCUGAAGCAGUACAAGUUGAGGAAAUUGUUUGGAAGGCAAUUAUGUUGCAAGAGAAUCAUGAGCCUUACUGGGUUUUAAGCAAUAAGCAGGAAUUUCUGUUUCAGCAGCAGAUGGCACCUGAAGAAAAAGAUUAAGACUUAUUUCUAGCAUUCAAUAAUCCACCCUUAUUCAUUAGUUGCACUUAUUGCCCCUAUAGACCUUGAUUGUUUGCUACUUUUCAAUCUAAUUACGUCUGUUAUUUAAUUAUAUGGUUAUAAUUUGAAUCCACACUUCCUAUUACCUAGUCUUAAUAAUCUGAUCAAGAACUUGGCAUCUUCUAUUGCAUUCAUGUUGGUAACUCGGUAUUAUUCUUUUCAUUUGCACACUGUAGGUUGCUUUUCCAAAUCAUAUGAUGCAAAAGUAGAGGUAAGUUUCAUAUAAGAUUCUGCACUAAUGGCUAGUUUUAUGGACAAUGGUUGCACAUAAAUGGAUGGAUGACAUGUUGUGCAUGUAAUAACCAUUUGCAGAGAGGCAGGACUGCUCAUCCUAUGCAUACACCAAGAGAUUUUGCAGAUUGAGCCUAUUAUUAAUCUAAGGUGAUGACUAAUAAGUGAUGAUUUAGUAGCCUGAAUAUAUUUUUCAGGAGUAUUUUGUGAUAUCUCCAUCUCCAUUUUUAUUCUUGCUGCAAAAAGCAAAAACAAUGGAGUCACUGCACCUUCUUUAGUGCAUGGUGCUUGAAUUCGUCCUCUAGGUUUCUUGUUGGACGUGUAUUAUUCUGUCAAUUGGUAUAUCAUUAACUUUGGGUGAAUUUCUUGGAAGUUGU